RNAcentral lists this ribosomal RNA (906 nucleotides) under Strigula multiformis. RNAcentral describes it as "partial large subunit ribosomal RNA". It matches the Rfam family "Eukaryotic large subunit ribosomal RNA", at positions 67 to 939 of the family's 3401-position model. Lineage: Eukaryota; Fungi; Ascomycota; Dothideomycetes; Strigulales; Strigulaceae. The record is from RNAcentral.
AACGGGGAUUGCCUCAGUAACGGCGAGUGAAGCGGCAACAGCUCAAAUUUGAAAUCUGGCGCCCCCGGCGCCCGAGUUGUAAUUUGCAGAGGAUGCCUCGGUGCGAGGCCGCGCCCAAGUCCCUUGGAACAGGGCGCCUCAGAGGGUGAGAGUCCCGUUGGGCCGCGGCCGACCUCCGUGUGAGGCUCCUUCGACGAGUCGAGUUGUUUGGGAAUGCAGCUCUAAGCGGGAGGUAAAUUUCUCCUAAGGCUAAAUACCGGCCAGAGACCGAUAGCGCACAAGUAGAGUGAUCGAAAGAUGAAAAGCACUUUGGAAAGAGAGUUAAAAAGCACGUGAAAUUGUUGAAAGGGAAGCGCUUGCGGCCAGACUUGCCGCGGCGGUUCGGCCGGGUGCUCCACCCGGCUUACUCCGCCGCGUCGGGCCAGCAUCAGCUUGGGCGGUCGGACAAAGGCCUGGGGAACGUAGCUCCCUCCGGGGAGUGUUAUAGCCCCUCGCGCAAUGCGGCCCGCCCGGGCUGAGGCUCGCGUUCUGCUAGGAUGCUGGCGUAAUGGCCGCAAGCGGCCCGUCUUGAAACACGGACCAAGGAGUCUACCAUCUGUGCGAGUGUUUGGGUGUCAAACCCGUGCGCGUAAUGAAAGUGAACGGAGGCGGGAGCCCCCGGGCGCACCGUCGACCGAUCCUGAUGUCUUCGGAUGGAUUUGAGUAAGAGCACAGCUGGUGGGACCCGAAAGGUGAGCAACCAACCCUUUUCUUCUACUUUAUAAAUGAAAGCUAAUAGAAAUUCCCCAGAUGGUGAACUAUGCGUAAACAGGGCGAAGCCAGAGGAAACUCUGGUGGAGGCUCGCAGCGGUUCUGACGUGCAAAUCGAUCGUCAAAUUCGCGCAUAGGGGCGAAAGACUAAUCGAA